GGGGGGGGGGGGGGGGGGGGGGGGGGGGGGGGGGGCGGGGGGGGGGGCGGGGGGGGGGUGGGGUGCGGGAGGGGCGGGGGGGUGGGGGACAGGUGGGUGACCUGCGGUUGACGUUGGGAUAACGUCAGGAAGGUGGGGCGAAUACCGGAGAGGAGCUCCUGCUGCAUUGUGGGGGUUGGAAUGUGUCGGCGGUUGGGGAUGGACUGGCGGCUUAUCAGCUUGUGGGUGGGGUAGUGGCUUACCAAGGCGUUGACGGGUAGCCGGCCUGAGAGGGUGACCGGCCACAUUGGGACUGAGAUACGGCCCAGAUUCCUACGGGAGGCAGAAGUGGGGAAUAUUGCACAAUGGGCGGAAGCCUGAUGCAGCAACGCCGCGUGCGGGAUGACGGCCUUCGGGUUGUAAACAGCUUUCGCCUGUGACGAAGAGUGAGUGACGGUAAUGGGUAAAGAAGCACCGGCUAACUACGUG
Molecule: ribosomal RNA, 468 nt
Filed under: uncultured bacterium
Lineage: Bacteria
Description: partial 16S ribosomal RNA
Rfam family: Bacterial small subunit ribosomal RNA (bases 58-468)
Source: RNAcentral